AAAAGAACUUUGAAGAGAGAGUUCAACAGUACGUAGAACCGCCUAGAGGUAAACGGGUGGAUCCGCAAAGUCGGCCUGCGAAAUUCAGCUCGGAAGGCUGGUCGCGAGCAGUGGGGCUAGAGAUCUCUCGUGGACUCUCCUGCUGCUGGUACGCUAGCUUGACGUGUGCGCUUUUCGCGGGCAGACGCGCCGACACCGGUUUUCGGGCAGUCAGAAGGCAGCGAGGAAGGUAGGUGGGCGCUUCGGCGUUUACUGUUAUAGCUUCGCCUGUGCCGAUAUGCUCGGAGACCGAGGAGCCGCCGCUUGGCCAUCGGCUACCCUGGUUUCCUUGGGGGUUCGACUGGCAGAGACUGGCAAACCGUGUCUGCCGACCGCCCUCUCUGGACGGACGGGGGUGCUUUUUCAGUCUGCCGAGCAUAUGGUCCGUGGCGAAUCGGUCGGCACUCCACCCGACCCGUCUUGAAACACGGACCAAGGAGUCUAACCUGCGCGCGAGUCGUUGGGUAGUACGAAACCCGAAGGCCCCGUGAAAGCGAGGGCCGUCCUUCACUGUGAGGUGCUCUCGUGGGAUCCUGCGUUCUCACUCCCCCAGGCGCACACGAAAAGAAGG
RNAcentral lists this ribosomal RNA (610 nucleotides) under Cyclotus sp. NN-2013. RNAcentral's name for it is "eukaryotic LSU rRNA". It matches the Rfam family "Eukaryotic large subunit ribosomal RNA", at positions 367 to 795 of the family's 3401-position model. The record is from RNAcentral. Lineage: Eukaryota; Metazoa; Mollusca; Gastropoda; Architaenioglossa; Cyclophoridae.